GGGUUGUGAGGUUAAGUGACUAAGCGUACACGGUGGAUGCCUAGGCAGUCAGAGGCGAUGAAGGGCGUGCUAAUCUGCGAAAAGCGUCGGUAAGGUGAUAUGAACCGUUACAACCGGCGAUACCCGAAUGGGGAAACCCAGUGUGUUUCGACACACUAUCAUGUCAUGAAUACAUAGUGGCAUGAGGCGAACCGGGGGAACUGAAACAUCUAAGUACCCCGAGGAAAAGAAAUCAACCGAGAUUCCCCCAGUAGCGGCGAGCGAACGGGGAGGAGCCCAGAACCUGAAUCGGCUUGUGUGUUAGUGGAAGCGUCUGGAAAGUCGCGCAGCAAAGGGUGAUAGCCCCGUACACUAAAAUGCACAGGUCGUGAGUUCGAUGAGUAGGGCGGGACACGUGACAUCCUGUCUGAAUAUGGGGGGACCAUCCUCCAAGGCUAAAUACUCCUGACUGACCGAUAGUGAACCAGUACCGUGAGGGAAAGGCGAAAAGAACCCCGGCGAGGGGAGUGAAAUAGAACCUGAAACCGUGUACGUACAAGCAGUGGGAGCACCUUCGUGGUGUGACUGCGUACCUUUUGUAUAAUGGGUCAGCGACUUAUAUUUUGUAGCAAGGUUAACCGUAUAGGGGAGCCGUAGGGAAACCGAGUCUUAACUGGGCGAAUAGUUGCAAGGUAUAGACCCGAAACCCGGUGAUCUAGCCAUGGGCAGGUUGAAGGUUGGGUAACACUAACUGGAGGACCGAACCGACUAAUGUUGAAAAAUUAGCGGAUGACUUGUGGCUGGGGGUGAAAGGCCAAUCAAACCGGGAGAUAGCUGGUUCUCCCCGAAAGCUAUUUAGGUAGCGCCUCGUGAACUCAUCUUCGGGGGUAGAGCACUGUUUCGGCUAGGGGGCCAUCCCGGCUUACCAAACCGAUGCAAACUCCGAAUACCGAAGAAUGUUAUCACGGGAGACACACGGCGGGUGCUAACGUCCGUCGUGAAGAGGGAAACAACCCAGACCGCCAGCUAAGGUCCCAAAGUCAUGGUUAAGUGGGAAACGAUGUGGGAAGGCAUAGACAGCCAGGAUGUUGGCUUAGAAGCAGCCAUCAUUUAAAGAAAGCGUAAUAGCUCACUGGUCGAGUCGGCCUGCGCGGAAGAUGUAACGGGGCUAAACCAUGCACCGAAGCUGCGGCAGCGACGCUUAGGCGUUGUUGGGUAGGGGAGCGUUCUGUAAGCCGUUGAAGGUGGCCUGUGAGGGUUGCUGGAGGUAUCAGAAGUGCGAAUGCUGACAUAAGUAACGAUAAAGCGGGUGAAAAGCCCGCUCGCCGGAAGACCAAGGGUUCCUGUCCAACGUUAAUCGGGGCAGGGUGAGUCGACCCCUAAGGCGAGGCUGAAAAGCGUAGUCGAUGGGAAACAGGUUAAUAUUCCUGUACUUGGUGUUACUGCGAAGGGGGGACGGAGAAGGCUAGGCUAGCCGGGCGACGGUUGUCCCGGUUUAAGCGUGUAGGGGGUGUGACCUGGUAAAUCCGGUUACAUAUCAACCCUGAGGCGUGAUGACGAUGCACUACGGUGCAGAAGUAGUUGAUGCCCUGCUUCCAGGAAAAGCCUCUAAGCUCCAGGUAACAUUGAAUCGUACCCCAAACCGACACAGGUGGUCAGGUAGAGAAUACCAAGGCGCUUGAGAGAACUCGGGUGAAGGAACUAGGCAAAAUGGUGCCGUAACUUCGGGAGAAGGCACGCUGGCAUGUAGGUGAAGUCCCUUGCGGAUGGAGCUGAAGCCAGUCGAAGAUACCAGCUGGCUGCAACUGUUUAAUAAAAACACAGCACUGUGCAAACACGAAAGUGGACGUAUACGGUGUGACGCCUGCCCGGUGCUGGAAGGUUAAUUGAUGGGGUCAGCCGCAAGGCGAAGCUCUUGAUCGAAGCCCCAGUAAACGGCGGCCGUAACUAUAACGGUCCUAAGGUAGCGAAAUUCCUUGUCGGGUAAGUUCCGACCUGCACGAAUGGCGUAAUGAUGGCCAGGCUGUCUCCACCCGAGACUCAGUGAAAUUGAACUCGCUGUGAAGAUGCAGUGUACCCGCGGCAAGACGGAAAGACCCCGUGAACCUUUACUAUAGCUUGACACUGAACAUUGAGCCUUGAUGUGUAGGAUAGGUGGGAGGCUUUGAAGCGUGGACGCCAGUCUGCGUGGAGCCAUCCUUGAAAUACCACCCUUUAAUGUUUGAUGUUCUAACUCGGCCCCAUAAUCUGGGGUGAGGACAGUGUCUGGUGGGUAGUUUGACUGGGGCGGUCUCCUCCCAAAGAGUAACGGAGGAGCACGAAGGUUAGCUAAUCACGGUCGGACAUCGUGAGGUUAGUGCAAAGGCAUAAGCUAGCUUGACUGCGAGAGUGACGGCUCGAGCAGGUACGAAAGUAGGUCUUAGUGAUCCGGUGGUUCUGAAUGGAAGGGCCAUCGCUCAACGGAUAAAAGGUACUCCGGGGAUAACAGGCUGAUACCGCCCAAGAGUUCAUAUCGACGGCGGUGUUUGGCACCUCGAUGUCGGCUCAUCACAUCCUGGGGCUGAAGUAGGUCCCAAGGGUAUGGCUGUUCGCCAUUUAAAGUGGUACGCGAGCUGGGUUUAGAACGUCGUGAGACAGUUCGGUCCCUAUCUGCCGUGGGCGUUGGAAGAUUGAGAGGGGUUGCUCCUAGUACGAGAGGACCGGAGUGAACGCACCACUGGUGUUCGGGUUGUCAUGCCAAUGGCAUUGCCCGGUAGCUAAGUGCGGAAAAGAUAAGCGCUGAAAGCAUCUAAGCGCGAAACUUGCCUCAAGAUGAGUCUUCCCUGGGCCUUUAAGGCCCCUGAAGGAACGUUUAAGACUAAGACGUUGAUAGGCUGGGUGUGUAAGUGCAGCGAUGCAUUGAGCUAACCAGUACUAAUGAUCCGUGAGGCUUAACCUUACAACACCGAAGGUGUUU
Molecule: ribosomal RNA, 2935 nt
Filed under: Serratia marcescens
Lineage: Bacteria; Pseudomonadati; Pseudomonadota; Gammaproteobacteria; Enterobacterales; Yersiniaceae
Description: 23S ribosomal RNA
Rfam family: Bacterial large subunit ribosomal RNA
Source: RNAcentral